RNAcentral lists this ribosomal RNA (492 nucleotides) under uncultured bacterium. RNAcentral's name for it is "partial 16S ribosomal RNA". It matches the Rfam family "Bacterial small subunit ribosomal RNA", at positions 29 to 507 of the family's 1533-position model. The record is from RNAcentral.
AGUGAACGCUGGCGGUAGGCCUAACACAUGCAAGUCGAGCGGCAGCACAGUAAGAGCUUGCUCUUACGGGUGGCGGGUGGCGGACGGGUGAGGAAUACAUCGGAAUCUACUUUUUCGUGGGGGAUAACGUAGGGAAACUUACGCUAAUACCGCAUACGACCUACGGGUGAAAGCAGGGGAUCUUCGGACCUUGCGCGAUUGAAUGAGCCGAUGUCGGAUUAGCUAGUUGGCGGGGUAAAGGCCCACCAAGGCGACGAUCCGUAGCUGGUCUGAGAGGAUGAUCAGCCACACUGGAACUGAGACACGGUCCAGACUCCUACGGGAGGCAGCAGUGGGGAAUAUUGGACAAUGGGCGCAAGCCUGAUCCAGCCAUACCGCGUGGGUGAAGAAGGCCUUCGGGUUGUAAAGCCCUUUUGUUGGGAAAGAAAAGCAGCAGGUUAAUACCCCGCUGUUCUGACGGUACCCAAAGAAUAAGCACCGGCUAACUUCGUG